UGAGCAAACAUCUGUCGUGUAUGUGCCA
RNAcentral lists this non-coding RNA (28 nucleotides) under Callithrix jacchus (white-tufted-ear marmoset). RNAcentral also lists the same sequence under 5 other names. The record is from RNAcentral. Lineage: Eukaryota; Metazoa; Chordata; Mammalia; Primates; Cebidae.